Long non-coding RNA from Homo sapiens (human), 6337 nucleotides. RefSeq lists it as uncharacterized. The record is from RefSeq and is a predicted model, not a curated record. Lineage: Eukaryota; Metazoa; Chordata; Mammalia; Primates; Hominidae. The transcript is spliced from 2 exons.
CCUGACCUCAAGUGAUCCACCUGCCUCAGCCUCCCAAAGUGCUGGGAUUACAGGCGUAAGCCACCAUACCCAGCGGUGGAUGAGAUGAUGUAAGGAUAAUGGAUGAGAAUGUACCUCAUAUAUUUUGAAGAUUUAUAUAAGGAAAUGCCACCUUGAAGAGAGAGAAAUGGGAGGGAGUGCGGAAGGCUCCAUUUGACAAGCCCCCUGUUGCCACCACAGGUUGGAAAAGAAGCCAGGAUAGAAGGUGCCUGUACAGGAAAAUGAGCUGUCUGCUAGGAUUUCUCACUGAGUUUUCAAUGUAAUAUCGAAAAGAAAUGGGAAACAUUUUAGGAUCAUUUAUUCUCAGCACAGAAAUAAAGGUGCUUCUUGAGGUUGAAUUGGACUCUGGUGCCUCAUCUUCAGGACUGUCCUCAUUAACUUGUUGGGAUCUUUUACAUGUCACUUAGCAUAGAAUCUCACCAAAUAAUGCUUCAUUCUACACCUUUUAAAACCCACUGGUUUCCAAAAGUGUAACAAGAAUAGAUGGCAAAAGCCCUAAAGUAGAGAGUUAAGUACAAAGCUUCAAAUUGACAUGGUUAAUAAAAAAUUAAGGAUUGCUAUGAGACACUUCAGGCAAAGCUAAACAAACUAGGGGAUUGGGUAGUGUGAAAGCAGAUGAAAUUUAAUUUGGUUAAGUGUAAAGUAAUGCACUUUGGGAAAAAUAAUCCAAACUUCUCAUAAUCUCUGAUAGGCUCUGAACUCAUAGUAAAAUAAUUUAAGAGUCAUGGUUGAUAACUUGGGGAAAAUAUCUGUCUGGUGUGCAGCAGCAAUUUAAAAAGCCAAUAGGAUGCUUGGGGUUAAAAUAAAAAAUAAUACAGAAAAUUUAAGAUAACAUAUAAAACAUUAGUGCUAUUCUGUGUCCAGUUUGGGUUAUCACAGGAGAUAUUAAAUCCCAGAAAAGAGACUUGAAAAUUGUUUAGAAAAGUAGUGAGACUUGGGAUUUAUAUAAGCUUGCUGACUUGGAAAAUGGCAUUUUUGAAGAAGGAAAAGAAGGUGUGAUACAGAGAACAGGAAUAAUAAUAAUUUAGAAAGGGCUACUUCCUCCUUGGUUCUAGUGUCCCAUGGUAUAAAAAGGCAACACUUAGUGAAUUCAACAAAAAAGAAUAUGUAACAAAGAUAGAAGAUGGUCUUUAGCCAGUGUUCCGUAGUUGUAGAUCUCCCUGUUCCAGGAGGGGACCUGUAUUUGAUUAAGGGGCACAGAACUACAUUAACAUUUAUGUCUGUUCAGCUGAGAAUGAGUAAGUGAAGUGUAAGGAAAUCCCCUGUGGGGCGCAGGACGGAGCGCUGCUGCAGAACGAGGAAGGUUCAGUAGAGUGCUGCUCACAGCCGGGAAGGGAAAGCUGAACAAAAAGGCUCAGUGGCAAACCCAACUGAGGCAUGUUCAAUUUUUCUAUUACAUACAGAAUAUUUAUUUUUCCUCCACCUGUACUCUCAUGAUUCAGCAUUUCCCACUGCAGCAAUUGGCAGGGCUGUGUCUCUGAGGCACAGUCUGGUGUAGGCUCUGACAAGGGAUGUCCCCGGGUGGAAUAAGCAGGGGUGGGGAGCAAGGCUAGAAACAUGUUUCCCUAAAGUCAAUAUAUCGUGCUGUCUUUCUCCAGUGGAAACUGUACUAGCAUUAACCUGGCCCUUGACCCCACUUUAACCUCACCUCCUGAAACCCAUAAUCCCGGGUUAUCCAUUUCCCAAAUAUAAGUAACUACUGAGCCAUGCUUCCUGCUGUGAACACAGCCUGCCCGGUGACGGCAGUACUGUUGUAUUGACAGAUAUGUCUGUUACCAGCUGACACCUUGGAGAACUGAUUGAUUGGCUCAAACAAAAAUCUAGAGAUUUAUUUGAAGGGCCAGAUAGGUCCUUCACAGCAUUUUCUCAGUUCAAGAUGUCACUUCUGCCUUACGCACAAGAAGCUAAAGAGCAACCACACUUUUACAGGUAUUUAGCCAACAGAAAACAACCCAAUUUCCACCUAGUCCCUGUGAAAUUAGCAUCUGGGCUGAGAUUUACUGGCCACUCUUCAUAAGCCAUAUAUCAGCUAAAAUGAUGCCUGAAAUCAAUCCCCCAAAUACCGUGAGACUCCACUUUUCCCCUUUCCAUGGUUUCUCACAUCCUUAAAGCACAUUAGCACUCAUACGCCUUGUCUUAGUCUGCUUGGGCUGCCAUAACAAAGUCCCACAGCCUGAGUAACUUAAACAACAGACAUUUAUUUUCUCACAGCUCUGGAGGCUGGAAGGCUGAGGUGAAGCUGUUGGCCAGGUUGGUUUCUUCUGAAGGCCUCUGCCUCGUUUGCAGACAGCCAUAUUCUUCCAGUCUUACAUGGUCACCCUUCUAUGUCUGUGUCCAAAUUUCCUCUUCUUAGAUGAACACCAGCCAUAUCGGAUUAGUGCCUACCCUAAUGACUUCACUUAAUUACCUCUUUAAAGGCCCUGUCUCCAAAUACAGUCACAUUCUGAGAUAUUGGGGGUUAGGACUUCAACAUAUGAAUUUUGGUGGGAGACACAAUUCAGUCCAUAACACCCCCAUUUUACCAUCGGGAACUUAAAAUUCAAGAUUUAAUUACUUUCCCUAGACCAUGUGGCAGGCCGCUAUUAAAUUGUCAUUAGAAUUCCCAGGCCCCCUUCUCUGUGUAUGAGAAGCUUCCAAACCACAAGCUGCCCCCUGCUCACUUGCCAAUCAAGGACUCUUCUUAAAACACAGCAUAGCUCCACCACCCAAAACCCUCAGUAGCAUUUUAAAUUCAGGAAAUCUGUUUUAUCACAGGAAAAAAAAAAUUAGUGCAGAGAUAUGUGAAUGAAGGGACAGAUCUCUCCAUGCAGUGCCCCAGGCGCUGGGGAGCCAUAUUGUUCGUGCUGGGUGAUAUUUUUCCAAACAAUACUCCGCAGUGCAGCACCAGCCAAGCAACAGCCCAGCAACCACAUGCAACCUGUUCCUGCCAGUGGGGAUCACCACAUUCCGUACAAAAAUAAAGAGCUGUGUUUACUGCCCAAUUCACUCAUCAAGAACACUCUGAUCCCAGAGCAAGCAUAGGGAACCAUUAUAUUCCUCCUUCACAGCCCUUCCAGGGGAAUUAGGAAUACAGCUCUGCUGUCAUUUUAUUUUCUGCCCAGAGCCCUAUGAAAGUGAACUCUGAUUAUUAAUAUUUUAAGCAUGUAAACAGCAAAACCCCAUCCAUGUCCUCGGUCUUGGUAUCAGGAUCCGGCACCGUGUGGGAGGACCCAGAAGCUGAGGGGCAGGCUGUGGUUCAGACAUUGAGCACCCAGGAGCCAUGUGGCUGGGUGUCUGUCAGUUAGGAAUCCAGGUAUCGGCCCUGGCCUCAUGAGUGUUUGUGUCCAAGCUAGCCGCCUUCUUCUUUUGUACAAAUGUAAGGGGUACAAGUGUAAUUUUGUUAUACAGCUAUGUUGUGUGAUGAUGAAAUCUGGGCUUUUAGUGUAUACAUCACCCGAAUAAGGUAUGUACAUAGUACCAUUCAGAGAUUUCCCAUCAUCUACCUUCUUUCCACCCUCCCACCCCUCCUCGUCUCCAAUGUCUAUCAUUCCACACUCCAUGUCCACGUGCACACAUUAGCUCCCACUUGUGAGAACCAAGCUAGCCUUCUAAACCUCUCCAGGAUCUUUCUCUGGUGACAACAAAGAAAUGAAGCAAGAGAGUGAUCGGAGAUGAGGGCAGGGGCUGCAGACUUGGCCAAGGCGUAGCGCAUAGCAAAGGCCCAAAGAACUGAGUACCCUUCCAGUUUAAUUGGUCCUUCAGAAGAAUGGAGAGAAUAGUACAUUGGGGGACUAAGUGGGAAGAGAUGAGAAUUGUAUUAAAAGCAAUACAAAUGUUUCUUUUUAAGGAAUGGAAAGAGAUUCUUGAGAAAGGCGACCCACACACGCGCACAAGAAAACAUCAGCACUCAUGCAGGAACAACGAGAGGCCAUAGGGAAGUAUUUUUAGCAAGUGGAAGUCAAUCACAGCAGGGAGAGAAGAGGGGUGGGUAAAGAAGGGGCCUGGAGCCUCGCAAGUAAGCCCAGAGCCCUGCAGUGGAAGCCACCUAAACCAACACCAUUCUCCCUCAUCCCGUGCCUCGCCAGGAUCGCUUGGAAUGCCACUGGAGAGGCAAGAUGGUUUUAGAAACAGGAAAUUGGAAGUGUUCUGCUUAAAAUGCUUCAGGCUCUGUGUGAGAGAGAAAGAGAGGGUCUGUGUGUCGAUAAGAGGAGUGCUUGUGUGGACGCUCCCAGGUCGGCUUGCGGGCAGCUGGGCGGCAUCAGGCGGGCCUGGCCUUGUUGACUGCUCUCAUCAACAAAGGCUCGCUUGUUUUGCUAGCCAUUUUCCUUGCAUUUCAGAACCAAGGGUCCUUUCUUCUUUUUUCUUCUCUUGCAUCAGAGAAAGCUGUUGUGUGCGGAUGCUCAGGAAGGUAAACAUAUGCAUUUUAAUAUCUGUGGCUCCCCCACAGUCAGUGAGCUAUUUCCUCCACCCAGGUGGAAAGAGGAUAGCGGGCCUCUCUGACAUGCUGGUUAGUCUGAAAACAGACCGCUAAAUGCGUAAUGAAGAGCCUCCGAGGAGUCAAUCUGCAUGUUAAAAUGGUGUUCAGCAGCCCGGGCUGUCACACAACAUAACUUGAAGAUGAAUGUGCAUCCAAUCAGACGGCCAAUCGCUGACUGGGAGGGUCCUGGCUAUUAGGAUUACCUGACUGCUCGGUGGCAGUGGGGUUUCCAAGGGGCCACAAGUUAACCAGCACCCCCCAAAUCUGUGACAAGACAAAUGAGCCCUCUCUUGGGCAUCCCCAGAUUUGCAUGGUCAGAAUGAUGCCGAGAGACAGUCUGAACCAGAGAGGAACAGUUAAAGAAGCGGGUAUUGAUCCCAACAGAAAGACACAGGGCUUUCAGCACGUUGGAGUCCAGGGGCUGGAAGCGAUAACAAAGGAAAAUGUUCAGCUUGACACUUGGAAGCAGAAAGGCAGGUUCUGAGCAGCCCCACACCAGCAGGUACUACCUGCCAUAAGGUUUGUGUUGCAGCCACUGCAGUCACUGCUGCUGCCACCACAACUACAGUUCAUAGCCAGUAACAGCCUUCACAUGAAUGAUGUGUAGACACCACUUUUGUCUCUGAACGCUUGACAACAAUUAGGACCUGACUCCAGGAGCAGGACGUCACAGGAACACCGGAAUACUGGAGAAAUGAGGUUAGAGCAAAGAAAUUAGCCAUCUGCCUGGUGAAGACUGUGUCCUCGAGGUAGCAUUUACAUAGGAACAACAGGCAACACGUAUCCAUUUUCAUUAUCCUGUGCUACAGAUAGACAGAGGACAAAAGGGCUUUAAGAACCGUGUUUUCUUUAAGGCCCCUGUACUUAGCGAGGCUGUAUGUCCUUUUUUCCCCUUCAUUCAAAAUGCCUGCUGGAGCUGCAGCUAAAUGACAAGCCCUGGGGAAGGAUUCCUAUCAGCUGGAAGUUUUAUGCAUUGCUCCUUUUUUGAGGUUCCCAAACACUGAAAAUAGGCAGCCUAAAGCCAAAUUUGGAGCAUAGGAAAGGGCAGCAAAUACAAUUGUAAGGCUCUACUUUGAAUGUUGCAAAUCUCCAUCUGAAAGAUGGAGGGAAAAAAUAUUUUUAGGUGAAAGGUGAUUCCCAAAUUGAGCCCCAAAGAUGUUCCAGCAGCUCAGAGCUGUGGGGUUGACAUCAGAGGCCUCCUGUCUUAAGUGAAGCCUCACCCAUAGACAUUGCAGGUUCUGGGUGCGCACACCACUAGCUCUGGCCAGCUCCUCGGCAGUAAAGAAGCUCAGUUUGCAGUUGAUCCUUGGCUGAACUUUGCCAUUCAUUACAGGACAACCAAAAGGGGCACCAGGAAGGCCCACCUCCAUUUAGCAUGUCUAUUGCCCUCCUAAGAGCCCUGUUAAAGUGGGGAAAGCCACUUUUCUACAUAUAUAUAUCAGCUAACACUUUUAUCUUUGUGUCCAUGUAAACUGUUAAUAUUAGUUUCACCAUGCCAGCUUGAUCAAAAAGUCAGUCCCAGCACAGUGGCUCACACCUGUAAUCCUAGCACUUUGGGAGGCUGAGGUGGGAGGACUGGUUGAGGCCAGAAGUUUAAGACCAGCCCGGGCAACAUAGUGAGACCCCCAUCUUUACCAAAACAAUAUUUUAAACUAGUUGGGCAUGGUAGUGAGCUCCUAUAGUCCAAGCUACUCGAGAGGCUGAGGCAGGAAGACUGCUUGAGUGCAGAAGUUUGAGGCUGCAGUGAACUAUCAUUGUGCCACUACACUCCAGACUGAGUAACAAAGUGAGACCUUGUCUCUAAAAAAAUCAUAAUAAAAAGUCAGUGAAAGUAUUGAAAAA